RNAcentral lists this ribosomal RNA (2152 nucleotides) under marine metagenome. Its description in RNAcentral is "eukaryotic LSU rRNA". It matches the Rfam family "Eukaryotic large subunit ribosomal RNA", at positions 163 to 2323 of the family's 3401-position model. The record is from RNAcentral.
ACCUGCACCGUCCUCCCGACUAGUUCUUAUUGAGAUAUAGUGUCACAGAGGGUUAUAACCCCGUCUGUUGGGAUCGUGUGUGCAUUCGGUCGGGUAAGUGUGAGUCGUGUUGCUUGGGACUGCAGCACUAAUCGGGAGGUAAUGUCCUUCUAAAUCUAAAUAUUACGAAGAGACCGAUAGCGAACAAGUACCGUGAGGGAAAGAUGAAAAGGAAUUUGAAAAGAAUGUGAAAAGUACGUGAAAUCGUUAGGUGAAAGCGAAUAGCAUACCCUUAGCGUGUGGCUCUCGUUUGUUACGAUCAGUUUUUCACUUUCCCAGUGUCUUCUGUUCACGCAAUCGUUUGCCAGAGGAUGAGAUCGUAGUUUUUCGGUGUCUCUCAGCGUGUCGACUUUCUUGGACUAUCGCCACGGUGAUACCCUUGAUUGUUUGCUCCUGUUUGUUCCGUUUCUGCAUCUUGACGCUAUAUUACCUGGUGUUGUUAUCCGACCCGUCUUGAAACACGGACCAAGGAGUCUAACGUAUGUGCGAGUAUUUGAGUUGUAAACUCUUCUGCGUAGAGAAAUCGACAAUUGAUAACACGUUUAGUGUUCCUCAUCGGCUGUUAGUUGAUUCUUCGGAUGAUCGCUACUCGCUUGAGCAUGUAUGUUGGGACCCGAAAGAUGGUGAACUAUGCUUGUGCAGGUUGAAGCCAGGAGAAAUCCUGGUGGAGGACCGUCGAGAUACUGACGUGCAAAUCGUUCUUCAGACAUGAGUAUAGGGGCGAAAGACUAAUCGAACCAUUUAGUAGCUGGUUCCCUUCGAAGUUUCCCUCAGGAUAGCUGGAACUUGUACGAGCCACGUGAGGUAAAGCGAAUGAUUGGAGGAUUUGGGUUUGAAACAUUCUCGGCCUACUCUCAAACUUUAAAUGUGCGUGAACAUCUGAUUGCUUAAUUGAAUCGGGUUGUAGGGUCUAAGGUUCUUAGUGGGCCAUUUUUGGUAAGCAGAACUGGCGAUGCGGGAUGCUCCGGAAGCUGGGUUAAGGUGCCUAAGUAAUCGCUCAUUCAGAUACCAUGAAAGGUGUUGGUUGAUUUAGACAGCAGGACGGUGGUCAUGGAAGUUGAAAUCCGCUAAGGAGUGUGUAACAACUCACCUGCCGAAUCAAGUAGCCCUGAAAAUGGAUGGCGCUCAAGCGAUUCACCGAUACUCAGCCAUCUGUUCUUUUGUGAUGAAUAGAUGAGUAGAAGGGCGUGAUGAUAGUGCAGAAGGUGUGGCGGUGACGUCCACUUGAACUGUCAUUAGUGCAGAUCUUGGUGUUAGUAGCAAAUACACAAAUGAAAACUUUGUGGGCCGAAGUGGAGAAAGGUUUCACGUGAAGUUUAAUGCGACGUGAGUGACCCAGUCCUAAUCGUCUCCUGAAAUGGUGAGAACUGCGCUUCUGCGCUUUUACGAGAAAGGGAAUCCGGUUAAUAUUCCGGAGGUGCAACCACGAUGUUAAGCGGUGACGCUGUAGAACCGGGUGACGCCAGCGAGGACCCUGGAAAGAGUUUUCUUUUCUUUUUAACAGAUCGUGUUUCAAUGGAAUGGGAUUAUCCCGAGAUGUUGAACCAUGUCUGGAAAAGCAGGUGACCUUCUCACCUGUCCGGUGCGUUCUCGAAGGUCCGUGAAAAGCCUGGGGAUUAUCUGCAUCAGAGUUGUAGCUGUACUCAUAACCGCAUCAGGUCUCCAAGGUGAAUAGCCUCUGGUCGAUGUGAUAAUGUAGGUAAGGGAAGUCGGCAAAUUAGGUCUGUAACUUCGGGAAAAAGACUGGCUCUUAGGACUGGACGUAUGAGGCUCGUGCUUGAACCUUGCUAAUUACACUAUUGGGCUAGCCUUUCUUCGGAUCGGCAGGCCGGACGGUUGUUUUCGGCGAGCGGAUUUCGCGAGAUGCUUCGGCGAUCUCUGCGUGUUUAACAGUUAACUGAGAACUGUCACGGACAAGGGGAAUCCGACUGUUUAAUUAAAACAAAGCAUUGUGAUGGUCGGAAACGAUGUUGACACAAUGUGAUUUCUGCCCAGUGCUCUGGAUGUCAAAGUGAUGAAAUUCAAUGAAGCGCGGGUAAACGGCGGGAGUAACUAUGACUCUCUUAAGGUAGCCAAAUGCCUCGUCAUCUAAUUAGUGACGCGCAUGAAUGGA